Molecule: non-coding RNA, 3533 nt
Organism: Lolium perenne
Lineage: Eukaryota; Viridiplantae; Streptophyta; Magnoliopsida; Poales; Poaceae
Source: RefSeq, a predicted model, not a curated record
UCGUGAGGGAGAGCAAAUCCCCAACGCCUCUCCUCCCUAUCCUGUUAGUGCACGACCGCCCCUCGCCCUCCUCAUCUCCGCCGCCGACCGUGAGGCCUCCAUGGACGGCGCUACGGGGACCUCCUGGAUGGGUCGGACGCCGACCAUGGUCUCCACCGCAUCGCUGUGUGGUGUUGCUCUCGCCGGGACGGCGACCUCAGGGUGGCAUGCGGCGGCCUCGGGGCGGAGCAGGCGCGGGCCGGGGACGCCGACCACCGGCCGGGGAAGGCGCGUGCCGGAGGCGGCGCCCUUGGGACGGAGAAGACGUGGGCCUGGGACGAUUAUCUUGGGGCGGCGGCAGCGACCUUUGGCCCUUGGGGCGGAGCACACGCGGGCUGGCGGCGGCCAGGUUGGGGCGAAGCCGGCCGGGGCCGGCGGCGGCUGGCGGCGUCCAUGUUGGGGGCCUCCUUCCUCUCUGCAGGUCGCCCUCCUCUCCUCCACGCCCAUCCUCCUCUCUGGACAGCAAGCCCAUCAAGCCAUCAACAAGGUCCUCGCGGUCUUGUGAGGGGGUGCCGUUCGUGGCGGCAACGGCGAACUACAGAAUUCAGGACCACGAUGGGAUCCUCGACGGCGUGUUGUUCUCAACUGGCCUCCUGGACGUCCGCCGCGUCGAAAUCUCCGAUGUGGCCGGUUGGGGAUUCUCCUGCGCCGGCGACAUAGAUGAAGGUCGUGGUUCUUCUUCUACUCCAUCUCUUCUCGGAAGAAGAGGAGUGUGCCUGCUUCCAUGACCCCGAGGAGGGAUUAUUCUCGGCCACUGGCGUCGCGAGCAGCACGACCCUCCCCUCGGAGGCCGCCCUAUCCUCUGCACAUCCCCCGAUAAAGUUGUGAAAGUUAAUCUGAAAUGGCUUUUGCAUCUGCCGCCAAGGCCACCGGAGUAGGCAAAAGUCCGCUCCCGGUGUUCAAGUCCUUCCUCUGCAUCUGUUUUCUUGGUUGGUGGUAGGUCCUGGUUGUUUUAGCUGGAUUUGUUUUUCAUCUAUUUUGCAGAUCGGUCCGGUCUGGUGGUCUGGUGACACACAUAGAGCAAGAAAGGCAAACAUAGUCCUUAUCAUGAUAUCCAUGUCAGCUAUGAAGUUGGUGCCGGUAGUUAGCGCCUACAUCGCAGCCAAGAAGAGCAAGGUAAGUCAUUAAUGUCGUAUGGUGUUACUCAUGGAUGUCCUCUGUGGGGUGCUUGCGCAUAUAUUUUUUUGUCCAAAUAUCUCGACUGCUUUUCUGCAUCUCGCACUCCAUGCCAAUGAUCUAUGUUUAAUCUUUGUAGACACAACAAGCUUAGAAGUAAGUUUUCAGCAAGCUACCUGUUUCAUGAUAAUAAUAAUAAGCCCCUGUCAUGCUAAAUGCAAAUAUUGGUGGGUUUCUUACCUGUGGAUAUUCUUUGGUAGCAUUAUCUAUGGAUUUUAAAACAAAGUUGGCCAUGGAAGUCAAGGUGAUUAAUUAUGUGUUCGGAAAGAGGUCAUAGGUUGAUAAAUUGGUCGUAUCCUAUACAAUUCGGUUUCAUUCUGAAGGAAUACCAUGUACUCCCAAUUAUGGUUGAUGUGAGAACAAAACUAUAACCUCUAACUUGAGAUGUGCCCGAACUAAUAAUGUUAGUGGACAGGAUUUUCAAAGAUAGAAGCUUUCAUAGAUUCUUGAUUACAGUUGAUUGAAGGUUUCUUGGUUUUCAGGCUAUCCAAUCUACUUUUCAGUAUGCACCUGUAUUAUUAAUGCAAACAGAGAAGGGGCUAAACAUAGGCUGUAUUACUUGGAAUCUUAUCUGCCAUGUACCCUCAUACUUUCCACAUGAAAGGUCGAAGAAAGACUGGACAAGGACUCACUACUGGAAACUCGGUUACUAAUUUUUGUACAAAUACAUUUAGACCAUAGAACUUUCAGACUUGCUGAUAUAAUGAUUAAACAUAUAAUAUAAUCGUGGGAUGAGGUUUCAGCAUUCGGAAGGAAAGGGUAAUGUCUACCAUCAGCUUCUUAUGCUUUCAUUGGUACUCCUGCUGGUUCAGGUACCACUUCAACUGAAGCUUUUUGGUAGUGAUAUUACUUUUUAAUUCAUAUUUAUUUGGAGCAAGUUAUAGUUUUACAAUGAAUAAGAUCAUAUUAAUUUAUCUCAAAAACAUACCAAUUCUUCCUUUUGCAUAUUUCUGCCGUUCAGGGGGGUCAUGGGCAGAGAUGGCGGCAUUUGCCAUCCCGCGUGCGGCUAGAAAGCCAGUGAUGCUAACAAGGCAGUGAAGCACUGUACACAUAUCCAUUCCAGCAUACUUAUCUAAGACCAUAUGUGCACCUAUGAAUUGCUUAAUAUUUUUGUGCUCUUUUUGUUUAACUGAUCUGUAUGACUACUAUAUAAACUUAUUUGUAUGUAUUCUUCAUACAUUUAUAUUUAAUACCUAUGCUAAAUUAUCAGUUAUCACCAUGUAUAUUGUAAUGUACGACUCAUCAUUCUUUUCUACUGUCCGCGCAACAAUAUAAUUGGAAGAAUGUAUGGUGUUUUGUAUUGAGUAACUCCAAUAUAUAUGUAUUAUGAGCAGAAGUUCUAGCAGCUAGAAAACGUUAACAAUGUUUUUUUCUAAUUUAUUAGCUACUACUUUAGCGACAAGCAUUGUUGAUGAUUUGCUCUAAUCUUUGCCCCCCUGAAGUGCAAGUGCUGAUGGAUUCUGCUGAUGUUGCCAUGAGUAAACGGCCUGCCAGUGGUCACCGCCAACGCAUCGCUUCACGUUCUUCGCCUUUGUGUAGGCCGUACAUCGAGAGCUAGGCGAAUUCCUGUUCCGGUGAUUCCACACCAGCCAUUUUUAUUUGCUCUACUGUUGACCCUUUUUUGUGCCAUCUGUUGACCAUGCCGAGGAGUAUUUGGUGUUCAUUAUUCUAUGGAUAUGGAUGUUUGGAGACAGUGAGCUCAGUACUCACACUUGACAACUUAUAGCUUCCAAGACAAGUUUGAUGUAUCAGAUACAGAGGCACAACAUGUUGAUCUGGAAUCAAGAAUAAUCACCAAUGCCAAGGCCCUACAAGUCCUCACUGCUGAAGCCACCCUGCCACUUCGGGACCAACAAGGGAGAUUAUCAUCAUCCCCUCAUCUGACGAGGAGGAUGGCGAUGCGGCGUACUAUGGAGCUUCAGACCGACCGCCUGCAGCAGAAUACAGAUAACUUUGGGCACUAGCAGCGCCACAUCUCUGAAUCUUCAGGUUUCUCUCCACGCAGUACCUGCCUUCACUUGGUAGUCUGCCUAGAAAAUGCACAAAUACCCAAAAAGCACUAAAGAUAGAAUUGUAGGCCGCAAUGCGGGACCAGUAUGAUCUGCUUUUGUUUGCCAGUAAAGUGAUCGCUGAUGUCAUCUAUAUUCUGUUGUUGUAGUCAAGCUCUAGCUAGCAUUAGACAUUUUCUGAUGGACAUGGAUCCUCUGAUAUAUAAUGAAGAAGCAUCAGUUAAAUUAUCUAUCGCAAAAGAACCCACUGUGUAACGAUCACUGCCAGUUUAUGUUGUACAUUAUCUAUUUAUAUUACUGUUGAUAAUC